UGGGGAAUAUUGGACAAUGGGCGAAAGCCUGAUCCAGCAAUGCCGCGUGAGUGAAGAAGGCCUUCGGGUUGUAAAGCUCUUUUACCCGGGAAGAUAAUGACUGUACCGGGAGAAUAAGCCCCGGCUAACUCCGUGCCAGCAGCCGCGGUAAUACGGAGGGGGCUAGCGUUGUUCGGAAUUACUGGGCGUAAAGCGCACGUAGGCGGUCUUUUAAGUCAGAGGUGAAAGCCCGGGGCUCAACUCCGGAAUUGCCUUUGAAACUGGAAGACUUGAACACGGGAGAGGUGAGUGGAAUUCCGAGUGUAGAGGUGAAAUUCGUAGAUAUUCGGAGGAACACCAGUGGCGAAGGCGGCUCACUGGACCGUAGUUGACGCUGAGGUGCGAAAGCGUGGGGAGCAAACA
RNAcentral lists this ribosomal RNA (402 nucleotides) under uncultured bacterium. Its description in RNAcentral is "bacterial SSU rRNA". It matches the Rfam family "Bacterial small subunit ribosomal RNA", at positions 355 to 774 of the family's 1533-position model. The record is from RNAcentral.